AAGGAAUUGUGACUUUGCUUUUGGCUGCUGACUCCUGUAACAGUAUCAUGGUGUAUAAUUAAGAUGUUCCAGUGCUUUUCAGCCUUCUGGAGGAAUCUUCUCUUAUCUUAGUGAUUUAUUUUAGUCUUCUGUUGAGUUGGCAUGCAGUUAGUUCACCAUGCUGUGCUGAUGCCCAGAACAAAAGCCACUUGCAGAGGAUGAAGAGACUGAUGCUCUCACAGGCACAAAGCUGUCCUCUGAAAGUAACUAUUAAUCAAGUACUUUCAGAGCCAGAGCAUGAGGGCCUCUGUGCUUCAGCAGCUACAGUAUGGCUCAAAUGGAUGGUGACUCAAAGAACC
This is a long non-coding RNA of Lepidothrix coronata (blue-crowned manakin), 338 nucleotides long. RefSeq lists it as uncharacterized. NCBI's taxonomy places the organism in Eukaryota, Metazoa, Chordata, Aves, Passeriformes, Pipridae. The record is from RefSeq and is a predicted model, not a curated record. The transcript is spliced from 3 exons.